UACAGAGGUCUCAAGCGUUGUUCGGAUUCAUUGGGCGUAAAGGGUGCGUAGGUGGCGAGGUUAGCCUGGUGUGAAAUCUCGGAGCUCAACUCCGAAACUGCACUGGAUACUGCCUUGCUUGAGUACUGGAGAGGAGAUUGGAAUUUACGGUGUAGCAGUGAAAUGCGUAGAUAUCGUAAGGAAGACCAGUGGCGAAGGCGAAUCUCUGGACUGUUGCUGACACUGGGGCACGAAGGCCAGGGGAGCAAACGGG
Molecule: ribosomal RNA, 253 nt
Filed under: uncultured bacterium
Lineage: Bacteria
Description: partial 16S ribosomal RNA
Rfam family: Bacterial small subunit ribosomal RNA
Source: RNAcentral